This 234-nucleotide ribosomal RNA is filed under the name uncultured bacterium. Its description in RNAcentral is "partial 16S ribosomal RNA". It matches the Rfam family "Bacterial small subunit ribosomal RNA", at positions 105 to 334 of the family's 1533-position model. The record is from RNAcentral.
CCGACGGUGAGUAACACGUAUCCAACCUGCCGUCUACUCUUGGACAGCCUUCUGAAAGGAAGAUUAAUACAAGAUGGCAUCAUGAGUUCACAUGUUCACAUGAUUAAAGGUAUUCCGGUAGACGAUGGGGAUGCGUUCCAUUAGAUAGUAGGCGGGGUAACGGCCCACCUAGUCUUCGAUGGAUAGGGGUUCUGAGAGGAAGGUCCCCCACAUUGGAACUGAGACACGGUCCAA